RNAcentral lists this ribosomal RNA (825 nucleotides) under Triticum aestivum (bread wheat). RNAcentral describes it as "partial small subunit ribosomal RNA". Lineage: Eukaryota; Viridiplantae; Streptophyta; Magnoliopsida; Poales; Poaceae. The record is from RNAcentral.
AGAGCGGGCAAUUACACCAACGCCAAUGACAUCUUACUAUGCAAUACUUGGUUGCAAGUGUCGAGGGAUCCAUCCGUUGGAGGUGAUCAAAGUAAAGAUGCUUAUUGGGGGCGGAUGAAAGAACACUUUUAUGUUCGCAACGUGAGUGGAAUUGACCGCUCUGAGAGAUCACUUCGGUCCUGGUGGUCGACAAUCAACUCGGAUUGUCAAAGAUGGGCGGCCUGUCAAAAGGCGGUUGACAAGUUGAACCCAAGUGGCACAAAUGAGGACGAUAGAGUAAGUGAAGAGGAGAGGGAAACCAAGAAGGGGAAGAUCAAGAAAGGAAGGAUCUUUACCUUGCCUCAUUGCUAUGAAGUGUUGAAGGAUGAUGAGAAAUGGAAGAAGCGUGAAGAUUUGGAUGAUUUGCAUUUGAGCAACAAACGCAAGCGAACAAUUGAGUUGAAUGAUGAUGAGGAGGAGGAGGAGGAGGAUGCAUCAAGUGAUGACGGCAAGAGAAGCCCCACACCCAACUCGGUUUCAUACUCGAAGCCAAAACGACUGGAUGGGUGCAAGAAAGACAAAACAGAAAAGCAGAAGAGGAAAGGAGAUGAUGAAAUAAAAAAUGCUAUGGAAGCAAUUGUCAAUGCAAGAAGAGAAGCCAACGAGGUGAGGAAAAUGGCAAGAAACCAAGAUGUCGCGAGGAAGGUGGCUUUGGAGGAGAGGAAGGUGAGCAAUGAGGAGCGAACUAGAUUGUUGGAAUGGGAGAAGCACUUGUUCUUCUUGGACACAUCUAACCUCAAUGAGGCGCAAAAGGAGUUUGUCAAUCUUUCCCGCGAAGAAGUGUUG